CCUGUACCACCUAUAAUCGUUUUAAUCGAUGGGGGGACGCAGUAGGAUAGGCGAAGCGUGCGAUUGGAUUGCACGUCUAAGCAGUAAGGCUGAGUAUUAGGCAAAUCCGGUACUCGUUAAGGCUGAGCUGUGAUGGGGAGAAGACAUUGUGUCUUCGAGUCGUUGAUUUCACACUGCCGAGAAAAGCCUCUAGAUAGAAAAUAGGUGCCCGUACCGCAAACCGACACAGGUAGUCAAGAUGAGAAUUCUAAGGUGAGCGAGCGAACUCUCGUUAAGGAACUCGGCAAAAUGACCCCGUAACUUCGGGAGAAGGGGUGCUCUUUAGGGUUAACGCCCAGAAGAGCCGCAGUGAAUAGGCCCAAGCGACUGUUUAUCAAAAACACAGGUCUCUGCUAAACCGUAAGGUGAUGUAUAGGGGCUGACGCCUGCCCGGUGCUGGAAGGUUAAGAGGAGUGGUUAGCUUCUGCGAAGCUACGAAUCGAAGCCCCAGUAAACGGCGGCCGUAACUAUAACGGUCCUAAGGUAGCGAAAUUCCUUGUCGGGUAAGUUCCGACCCGCACGAAAGGCGUAACGAUUUGGGCACUGUCUCAACGAGAGACUCGGUGAAAUCAUAGUACCUGUGAAGAUGCAGGUUACCCGCGACAGGACGGAAAGACCCCGUGGAGCUUUACUGUAGCCUGAUAUUGAAAUUCGGCACAGCUUGUACAGGAUAGGUAGGAGCCUUUGAAACGUGAGCGCUAGCUUACGUGGAGGCGCUGGUGGGAUACUACCCUAGCUGUGUUGGCUUUCUAACCCGCACCACUUAUCGUGGUGGGAGACAGUGUCAGGCGGGCAGUUUGACUGGGGCGGUCGCCUCCUAAAAGGUAACGGAGGCGCUCAAAGGUUCCCUCAGAAUGGUUGGAAAUCAUUCAUAGAGUGUAAAGGCAUAAGGGAGCUUGACUGCGAGACCUACAAGUCGAGCAGGGUCGAAAGACGGACUUAGUGAUCCGGUGGUUCCGCAUGGAAGGGCCAUCGCUCAACGGAUAAAAGCUACCCCGGGGAUAACAGGCUUAUCUCCCCCAAGAGUUCACAUCGACGGGGAGGUUUGGCACCUCGAUGUCGGCUCAUCGCAUCCUGGGGCUGUAGUCGGUCCCAAGGGUUGGGCUGUUCGCCCAUUAAAGCGGUACGCGAGCUGGGUUCAGAACGUCGUGAGACAGUUCGGUCCCUAUCCGUCGUGGGCGUAGGAAAUUUGAGAGGAGCUGUCCUUAGUACGAGAGGACCGGGAUGGACAUACCUCUGGUGUACCAGUUGUCGUGCCAACGGCAUAGCUGGGUAGCUAUGUGUGGACGGGAUAAGUGCUGAAAGCAUCUAAGCAUGAAGCCCCCCUCAAGAUGAGAUUUCCCAACUUCGGUUAUAAGAUCCCUCAAAGAUGAUGAGGUUAAUAGGUUCGAGGUGGAAGCAUGGUGACAUGUGGAGCUGACGAAUACUAA
RNAcentral lists this ribosomal RNA (1469 nucleotides) under Staphylococcus aureus. RNAcentral's name for it is "partial 23S ribosomal RNA". It matches the Rfam family "Bacterial large subunit ribosomal RNA", at positions 1438 to 2904 of the family's 2925-position model. Lineage: Bacteria; Bacillati; Bacillota; Bacilli; Caryophanales; Staphylococcaceae. The record is from RNAcentral.